This 63-nucleotide transfer RNA is filed under the name Rattus norvegicus (Norway rat). It matches the Rfam family "tRNA". From Rfam's summary of the family: Transfer RNA (tRNA) molecules are approximately 80 nucleotides in length. Their secondary structure includes four short double-helical elements and three loops (D, anti-codon, and T loops). Further hydrogen bonds mediate the characteristic L-shaped molecular structure. tRNAs have two regions of fundamental functional importance: the anti-codon, which is responsible for specific mRNA codon recognition, and the 3' end, to which the tRNAs corresponding amino acid is attached (by aminoacyl-tRNA synthetases). tRNAs cope with the degeneracy of the genetic code in two manners: having more than one tRNA (with a specific anti-codon) for a particular amino acid; and 'wobble' base-pairing, i.e. permitting non-standard base-pairing at the 3rd anti-codon position. The record is from Rfam by way of RNAcentral. Lineage: Eukaryota; Metazoa; Chordata; Mammalia; Rodentia; Muridae.
GGGGAUUUAGCUUAGUGGUAGAGCGCUUGCCUAGCAAGCUCAAGGCCCUGAGUUCAGUCCCCA